RNAcentral lists this transfer RNA (66 nucleotides) under Marmota monax (woodchuck). Its description in RNAcentral is "tRNA.Ala". The record is from RNAcentral. Lineage: Eukaryota; Metazoa; Chordata; Mammalia; Rodentia; Sciuridae.
GGUUGUGGCUCACCGGUAGAGCACUCGCCUAGCACGGGUAGGACCUGGGUUCGAUCCUCAGCACCA